UACGUAGGGUCCGAGCGUUGUCCGGAAUUACUGGGCGUAAAGAGCUCGUAGGCGGUGUGUCGCGUCGGCCGUGAAAACCUGCAGCUUAACUGUGGGCUUGCGGUCGAUACGGGCAUCACUGGAGUUCGGCAGGGGAGACUGGAAUUCCUGGUGUAGCGGUGAAAUGCGCAGAUAUCAGGAGGAACACCGGUGGCGAAGGCGGGUCUCUGGGCCGAUACUGACGCUGAGGAGCGAAAGCGUGGGGAGCGAACAGG
This 254-nucleotide ribosomal RNA is filed under the name uncultured bacterium. Its description in RNAcentral is "partial 16S ribosomal RNA". It matches the Rfam family "Bacterial small subunit ribosomal RNA", at positions 524 to 776 of the family's 1533-position model. The record is from RNAcentral.